This 1419-nucleotide ribosomal RNA is filed under the name Lactiplantibacillus plantarum. RNAcentral describes it as "bacterial SSU rRNA". It matches the Rfam family "Bacterial small subunit ribosomal RNA". Lineage: Bacteria; Bacillati; Bacillota; Bacilli; Lactobacillales; Lactobacillaceae. The record is from RNAcentral.
UGCAAGUCGAACGAACUCUGGUAUUGAUUGGUGCUUGCAUCAUGAUUUACAUUUGAGUGAGUGGCGAACUGGUGAGUAACACGUGGGAAACCUGCCCAGAAGCGGGGGAUAACACCUGGAAACAGAUGCUAAUACCGCAUAACAACUUGGACCGCAUGGUCCGAGCUUGAAAGAUGGCUUCGGCUAUCACUUUUGGAUGGUCCCGCGGCGUAUUAGCUAGAUGGUGGGGUAACGGCUCACCAUGGCAAUGAUACGUAGCCGACCUGAGAGGGUAAUCGGCCACAUUGGGACUGAGACACGGCCCAAACUCCUACGGGAGGCAGCAGUAGGGAAUCUUCCACAAUGGACGAAAGUCUGAUGGAGCAACGCCGCGUGAGUGAAGAAGGGUUUCGGCUCGUAAAACUCUGUUGUUAAAGAAGAACAUAUCUGAGAGUAACUGUUCAGGUAUUGACGGUAUUUAACCAGAAAGCCACGGCUAACUACGUGCCAGCAGCCGCGGUAAUACGUAGGUGGCAAGCGUUGUCCGGAUUUAUUGGGCGUAAAGCGAGCGCAGGCGGUUUUUUAAGUCUGAUGUGAAAGCCUUCGGCUCAACCGAAGAAGUGCAUCGGAAACUGGGAAACUUGAGUGCAGAAGAGGACAGUGGAACUCCAUGUGUAGCGGUGAAAUGCGUAGAUAUAUGGAAGAACACCAGUGGCGAAGGCGGCUGUCUGGUCUGUAACUGACGCUGAGGCUCGAAAGUAUGGGUAGCAAACAGGAUUAGAUACCCUGGUAGUCCAUACCGUAAACGAUGAAUGCUAAGUGUUGGAGGGUUUCCGCCCUUCAGUGCUGCAGCUAACGCAUUAAGCAUUCCGCCUGGGGAGUACGGCCGCAAGGCUGAAACUCAAAGGAAUUGACGGGGGCCCGCACAAGCGGUGGAGCAUGUGGUUUAAUUCGAAGCUACGCGAAGAACCUUACCAGGUCUUGACAUACUAUGCAAAUCUAAGAGAUUAGACGUUCCCUUCGGGGACAUGGAUACAGGUGGUGCAUGGUUGUCGUCAGCUCGUGUCGUGAGAUGUUGGGUUAAGUCCCGCAACGAGCGCAACCCUUAUUAUCAGUUGCCAGCAUUAAGUUGGGCACUCUGGUGAGACUGCCGGUGACAAACCGGAGGAAGGUGGGGAUGACGUCAAAUCAUCAUGCCCCUUAUGACCUGGGCUACACACGUGCUACAAUGGAUGGUACAACGAGUUGCGAACUCGCGAGAGUAAGCUAAUCUCUUAAAGCCAUUCUCAGUUCGGAUUGUAGGCUGCAACUCGCCUACAUGAAGUCGGAAUCGCUAGUAAUCGCGGAUCAGCAUGCCGCGGUGAAUACGUUCCCGGGCCUUGUACACACCGCCCGUCACACCAUGAGAGUUUGUAACACCCAAAGUCGGUGGGGUAACCU